This 26-nucleotide non-coding RNA is filed under the name Gallus gallus (chicken). RNAcentral also lists the same sequence under 4 other names. The record is from RNAcentral. Lineage: Eukaryota; Metazoa; Chordata; Aves; Galliformes; Phasianidae.
AAGUGUAGUAUCUGUUCUUAUCAGUU